Molecule: ribosomal RNA, 670 nt
Filed under: Enterobacter sp. 597(2010)
Lineage: Bacteria; Pseudomonadati; Pseudomonadota; Gammaproteobacteria; Enterobacterales; Enterobacteriaceae
Description: bacterial SSU rRNA
Rfam family: Bacterial small subunit ribosomal RNA
Source: RNAcentral
CUUGCUGCUUCGCUGACGAGUGGCGGACGGGUGAGUAAUGUCUGGGAAACUGCCUGAUGGAGGGGGAUAACUACUGGAAACGGUAGCUAAUACCGCAUAACGUCGCAAGACCAAAGAGGGGGACCUUCGGGCCUCUUGCCAUCAGAUGUGCCCAGAUGGGAUUAGCUAGUAGGUGGGGUAACGGCUCACCUAGGCGACGAUCCCUAGCUGGUCUGAGAGGAUGACCAGCCACACUGGAACUGAGACACGGUCCAGACUCCUACGGGAGGCAGCAGUGGGGAAUAUUGCACAAUGGGCGCAAGCCUGAUGCAGCCAUGCCGCGUGUAUGAAGAAGGCCUUCGGGUUGUAAAGUACUUUCAGCGGGGAGGAAGGCGAUGCGGUUAAUAACCGCGUCGAUUGACGUUACCCGCAGAAGAAGCACCGGCUAACUCCGUGCCAGCAGCCGCGGUAAUACGGAGGGUGCAAGCGUUAAUCGGAAUUACUGGGCGUAAAGCGCACGCAGGCGGUCUGUCAAGUCGGAUGUGAAAUCCCCGGGCUCAACCUGGGAACUGCAUCCGAAACUGGCAGGCUUGAGUCUCGUAGAGGGGGGUAGAAUUCCAGGUGUAGCGGUGAAAUGCGUAGAGAUCUGGAGGAAUACCGGUGGCGAAGGCGGCCCCCUGGACGAAGACUG